RNAcentral lists this ribosomal RNA (1005 nucleotides) under Epistominella vitrea. RNAcentral's name for it is "SSU rRNA". It matches the Rfam family "Eukaryotic small subunit ribosomal RNA", at positions 1160 to 1802 of the family's 1831-position model. Lineage: Eukaryota; Foraminifera; Rotaliida; Pseudoparrellidae. The record is from RNAcentral.
AAGGGCACCACAAGAACGCGUGGAGCAUGUGGCUUAAUUUGACUCAACGCGGGAAAUCUUACCGGGUCCGGACACACUGAGGAUUGACAGGCAAUAUUAAUUUCUGCAGCUUCGGCUAAAGUUAUUAUGUUAAAUAUGCUAGUCCUUUCAUGGUUAUGUGAUAGGUGGUGCAUGGCCGUUCUUAGUUCGUGGAGUGAUCUGUCUGCUUAAUUGCGUUUCACUAAGGGCCUAUAAAUUACGUGUGUCGCGGUACUUUGACCCCUCUUUUUUCACGAGAAGAGCGCGUGUCUUAGUUUGCUUAGCUCACACAAUUAGGUCCUGAAAGCAACGAACGUGACCGCAACCUCUUGUUGCCUUUAUACCAAACAUGGAUAUUCUCUUCGGAGGGUUUCAUGAAAAAAGGCUUUUUAAACUAGAGGGACCGCUGUUACUUUCUUAAACCAGAGGAAGGUUGCGGCAAUAACAGGUCUGUGAUGCCCUUAGAUGUUCCGGGCUGCACACGUGCUACAAUGAUUAUUGCAGUGAGCAUCUCAUUUUUUACACACUGCAUACGCGAGUCCAUUUAUUCACUCUCGGGUGCUUUAAAUGUGCAUCUCUGCGAGCGGUAAAGCCUGCUUCGAAAGUAAGUGAGUAAUCAAUUAGAAGUAAUGAUUUCCUUUUUUUCUAGCACACAUAUAUACGGCGUUUAUACCCGGGCUGCCUUGUUCGUAGCUUUUGUGCGUAUAGAUGUUUUUUCCGUAUGUGCGAUUGUCAAUUCAUGGUGGGGACAGACCAUUGUUAAUUGUUGGUCUCGGUCUUAACUAGGAAUGCCUUGUACGGGUCUUUGGUUCAACAAACCACCCGGAAUACGUCCCUGCCCUUUGUACACACCGCCCGUCGCUCUUACCGAUGGACUUCUCUGUGAGUUUGAGGGACUGGGAACGCAGGUUUUUUAUUAAAUCUGCACACCUAUGGAAACUUAAACGAACAGUGUGGUCUAAAGGAAAGAGAAGUCGAACAAGGCAU